GGGGGUCUAGCUCAAAUGGCAGAGCGCUCGCUUCGCAUGCGAGAAGUACUGGGAUCGAUACCCAGGUCCUCCA
RNAcentral lists this transfer RNA (73 nucleotides) under Coemansia sp. RSA 2399. Its description in RNAcentral is "tRNA-Ala". It matches the Rfam family "tRNA". Rfam says of the family: Transfer RNA (tRNA) molecules are approximately 80 nucleotides in length. Their secondary structure includes four short double-helical elements and three loops (D, anti-codon, and T loops). Lineage: Eukaryota; Fungi; Kickxellomycota; Kickxellomycetes; Kickxellales; Kickxellaceae. RNAcentral also lists the same sequence under 1 other name. The record is from RNAcentral.